GAUGAACGCUGGCGGCGUGCUUAACACAUGCAAGUCGAACGGGAUCCAAGGGGUGCUUGCACUUUUUGGUGAGAGUGGCGAACGGGUGAGUAACACGUGAGUAACCUGUCCUUUUCUUUGGGAUAAGCAUUCGAAAGGGUGUUUAAUACCUUAUGUCCUGUCUGCCUCGCAUGGGGUGGGUGGGAAAGGCUUUGGCCGGAUUUGGGUGGGCUCGCGGUCUAUCAGCUUGUUGGUGGGGUGAUGGCUUACCAAGGCUUUGACGGGUAGCCGGCCUGAGAGGGUGGUCGGUCACAUGGGGACUGAGAUACGGCCCAGACUCCUGCGGGAGGCAGCAGUGGGGGAUAUUGCACAAUGGGCGAAAGCCUGAUGCAGCGACGCCGCGUGGGGGAUGAAGGCCUUCGGGUUGUAAACUUCUUUUGCUCUGAACAAGGCAUGCCAGUGGGUGUGUUGAGUGUAGGGGUUGAUUAGCGCCGGCUAACUACGUG
RNAcentral lists this ribosomal RNA (485 nucleotides) under uncultured bacterium. RNAcentral's name for it is "partial 16S ribosomal RNA". It matches the Rfam family "Bacterial small subunit ribosomal RNA", at positions 28 to 507 of the family's 1533-position model. The record is from RNAcentral.